This 462-nucleotide ribosomal RNA is filed under the name Triticum aestivum (bread wheat). RNAcentral's name for it is "partial small subunit ribosomal RNA". The record is from RNAcentral. Lineage: Eukaryota; Viridiplantae; Streptophyta; Magnoliopsida; Poales; Poaceae.
AUGAACAUUCUAGCUUGGAACUGUCGGGGGUUGGGGUUGGACCCGGCAGUGGGCGAGCUAAGGGACCUGAUCAGGUCAUACAACCCAACGGUGGUAUUCUUGUCUGAAACAAAAAAGACCUCACGUGCUAUGGAGAGACUAAAGUGGAGCCUAGGGUUCAGACAUGGGGUAGCUGUUAAUUGCAAUGGCAAGAGUGGGGGGUUAGCGUUGUGGUGGAAGGAGUCGGUCGAGGUGACGGUGAGGCCUUGGUGCCAAUACUAUGUUGACGCACAGAUUGUGGCUGACGGGGUCACCUUUAGAUUCACUGGAAUCUACGGGGAACCGUGUGUGGAGAGAAGGACGAAGACGUGGGAGGUACUUCGCACCUACGUUCACAAGAUAACCUCCCGUGGAUUUGCGCGGGGGAUUUUAAUGAAGCGCUUCUCCAAAAAGAGCAGAUUGGUGGUAAUCCGAGGAGCUUGA